UGAACGUUUAAAAAACCACAUGAGCAUGCUAUUACCCAAUGAACAAAGAGGAAACCUACGUUGCAAUUAAGAGAAUGUCAGGAAUAGCUUUUAUUUUCUCCUUGAAACAAACACUUAUCACUCUAAUCCUUUUCAAUCAGAUUCUGGUGGCAAUUCACUUCUCACUUCUCUCUUCUCUUUACAUAAAACUUUUCAGUUCUCAUCUCUCUCCAUAACAUUGCCUUUUCCUUUGUGAGAAUUAGGCCAAGUAAAACAUGGAGUCUGGUUUGAGUACCACAGGAAAGAAAAAGCAUGAUACUGAAGACGUACUCCACAGCAAGCUAUCUGAACCACAGCUUAUAAGUCACAUUUUAUCUUUUCUGCCAACAACAGAUGCAGUUAGGACUUCUGUUUUGUCAAAGAAAUGGUUAAAUAACUGGACAUCUGUCACCAAGCUACACUUUGAUGACAGUCUCUUCAAAUAUUUACUUCGAAAAUGCACUCACUGCGCAGAUUAUAUUCCCUCUGUUUCCUAUGUCUGUGAUAAGGUGGGCUUUGCUGGUUUUGCUCUGUGUCAGAGGUGUUCUGUUUCACAGGAUGCACUCUACAAUGGUGGAAAUAGUUUGAGCUUUUCAGAUUUGAGGGAAGUGAGGUUUGAUCGCAAGAAAUUUGAGAAGUACUUUGAAAACUUUGUAUACAAGGCACUUCUUUUUACUAAUAACAAUAGUUCAGCUUCAAGAAUGUUGGAAAAGUUUUCUUUUGUGAUCCAUUAUAGGCACGAUAUUGCUGAUCUCAAUAUAUGGAUCUCUUCCAUCUUGAACAGGGGAGUGAAAAGUCUAAAGAUUGUUGUUUCAUCUGUUGAUCUACUAAAAUUUUCUGCUAGCACAUCCAAUUAUCUUUUAAAUUCCACACUUCUGGAAGAAUUGGAAUUGGUGCUUAGGAUGUUCACUGUCAUCGAAGCUCCUAGAAAUUUUGUUCGUUUUGGUCACCUGAAACAUCUGAAGCUGUCUGGUAUCAGUUUUGUCAUUGGCACUUCCUCUGAUUAUCUUACACUUAGCUUACCAGUUCUCAGAGUUUGAGAUCAAGAACUGCAAUUGGUCAAGUGGAAAGGAUGUUAUUGUAGAAGCUUCUCUGCUCGAAAGUAUUUUGAUACAAGAAGAAUAUGUGGACAUUGACGACCUACAAGGCCAAUCAAUCAAAUUUAAUGCUUUGUAUCUCAAAGAAUUUAGUUACUGUGGUUAUGGUAUAUCACAACAAAUUUACUUGUCAGGUUGUGGUUUUCGGUCUUAUGCUUCUGUCAAAAUCAUUUUAAACUCGUGUGAGAACAUCGCAACAUGCUUUGCUUUUCAACUUUUCCAGCAUUUCCAUCAAGUGAAUUGUAUCAAACUUGAAGGGUCAAAGGUCCUGACACAAUCAAAAGUUGUGUAUCCUGUAUCUGUAUCUGCUCUGACCUGAACUGGCAAAUUUGAGCCAUUUGGAGCUUGGCUUUGUUAGCAUUGAAGUUAUUUUAAGCCUACUUCAAAGGUCUCCAGUUCUCAAAACACUAGUUCUCAAGGCUUUCACUAACCGAGAGACACCUUCAAGUUCUGAAUUUAAUUCAAAAGGCGGCAAAAAGGAAGGUGAAGGCAAAAGUAAAUGCAAGUGCGACUGAAACAUCUUCUAAGGUCGUGCAUGAUACAAUGGAUAAAAGAGUGGUAGCCAUGGAAAAACUCGCACACCUUAUGGAGGAAGAAAACAUUUUAAAGAAGGAGGAGAUGGAGUUUAAGGCAAUGGUUUGCUCCAAAAUAGAAACAGUUUCCUGUGGCAUUCGAAGCGGUUCCGGUGGGUGAUAAACUGAGAGAACGACGGCGAAACACAACCAUUUCAAUUGCGAAGGUGAUACGAAGGUGAUCGACGACAUUAAACGGUAGAAAAGCGGUUUCAGGUGUGUUCUUAGCUUUGAAGGGAUGUCUGUACCUGUUGUUUUUCACCAUGGGGGUGAGUUUGUCAAAGAUUUUCUGUUGUAUUACAAAGGAGGAAAAGAGAAUCGGUUUAAUGAGAUUGAUAAGGACAAGUGGUGCUACUUUGAAGCUACUGGGAUAUUGAAAGAUUUAGGAUAUGAUGAUCACCUUAAGUAUAGGUUAUGGUGGUAUAUUAUUGAGGAUGACAAGUAUUUAAGGAUUAUAGAUGACAAUGACACUGAUAACAUUGCUGAGUAUGUAGCUAAUACCAAAUGUGAGGCUCACAUAUAUGUUGAACAUUCAGUUAUAGAGACCACAUGUGCUAAUGUUGGAGUUAGAUCAGUAGAAAGUGUUGAUGCUAGUGGAGUUAAAGCAGGUAAUGGGUGGAGUACUUAUGUUGAAGGUGGUCCUAGUAAUGGGUGGAGUUGAAGGUGGUCCUAGUAAUCUGCUGAAUUUUCUAACCCUGCAGCAACUAAUGUCCCAACUACUCAAUCAUCUAAAGCUCCAGACCAUGCAGCAGCAAUUAAGGCAGGACACCAAAUAGGCGAAGACCCGGAAUUUGAUGCCCUUGUUGCAGAUCUUGCAACAGCUUUUGAAGCUACUCAAUCUCAACCAAAUGUGUCAUCAGUCAUGACUUAUGCAUCAAUUCCCCCCUCUAAACCAGUAAAGAAUACUAAGAAACAGUCAAGGAAGCAGCCACAACCAAGUAAGCAACCACAAUCAAGCAAGCAGCCACAACCAAGCAAGCAACCACAAUCAAGCAAGCAGAUAACUCACAAUCUAAGGAGGAGUAAUAGGUGCAGGAAAUUGAGGUGUCAAUGUUGCUGGUCCUGGAGCUAAUUCUGAGACACCAUUGGUACUUGAUGAUCAGGUUCCUCCAGCUCAUGUACCAUUCAAAAGGCCUAGGACUGUUACUAAUGUUCAAUCACAAAACCCUGAGCCAAUCCAUACUGAAGUUGAUCAAUCACAAACCCCUGCACCAACCCCUACUGAAGUACCAAAUGCACAAGUACCAAAUGCUCAAGUUGAAGAUGCUACUCAAUCAAUCAACACUCUGUCAGCUCAAUCCAACACCAGUCAGUCAUCUCAGGCAACUCAGUGAAACAAUGAUGUGGACAUGAUAAUUAAUGGACUGAAAGCAUUGCCACCAGCACAAGGUACUGAAGCAAUGACACAAAUAGUUGAUGAACUGUUGAAGUGGGACAAUAAUAUUGCAAAGGUUCAAGGAAAAAAGGUGAAGACAGUUGGAAAUCCAUCAGAAAAUCAGACAGCAAAUGAUGGCUGGACUGAGAAGGUUGCCACCAGAGGAGUUAGAGAAGGUAACCAGAGAGCUACUUGCAGCACUAGUGAAGGGGAAAGACAAUGUUGACAAGUUCAAGAAGGGAGAUGAAGCAAGACCUGUAGAGUAGAUGGCUGCUAUGUUCUACUUUUUUUUGCAACAGAUUUAUGAAUGUUGUUUUCCUAUGAACCAUUUAUCCAUUUUGAUGUAUUCUGGCCUUUAUAAUUGGCCAUAAGACAAAGUUAUUUUGAUUUCAAACUAUUAUGCAAUUUGGUUA
This is an RNA transcript of Medicago truncatula (barrel medic), 3475 nucleotides long. It is a transcript of the gene named putative F-box/LRR-repeat protein At3g59170, with no coding region annotated. The record is from RefSeq and is a predicted model, not a curated record. Lineage: Eukaryota; Viridiplantae; Streptophyta; Magnoliopsida; Fabales; Fabaceae. The transcript has 9 exons.